CAGUGCUUACUAUAGCUCUUUUAGAAUGUCUAGCAGGUUUCUCAGUUUUUACUGGAAAAUCUCC
Molecule: small nuclear RNA, 64 nt
Organism: Saimiri boliviensis boliviensis (Bolivian squirrel monkey)
Lineage: Eukaryota; Metazoa; Chordata; Mammalia; Primates; Cebidae
Gene: U7
Rfam family: U7 small nuclear RNA
About the family: Animal histone pre-mRNAs are spliced by a different mechanism than nuclear pre-mRNAs and self-splicing introns. This processing involves the U7 snRNP, which contains only one RNA species: U7. The 5' end of U7 RNA is thought to base-pair to a conserved spacer element downstream of the cleavage site in histone pre-mRNA.
Source: Ensembl